Molecule: ribosomal RNA, 459 nt
Filed under: uncultured bacterium
Lineage: Bacteria
Description: partial 16S ribosomal RNA
Rfam family: Bacterial small subunit ribosomal RNA
Source: RNAcentral
CCUACGGGAGGCAGCAGUGAGGAAUAUUGGUCAAUGGUCGGGAGACUGAACCAGCCAAGCCGCGUGAGGGAUGAAGGUACAGAGUAUCGUAAACCUCUUUUGUCAGGGAACAAAGGCGGGGACGUGUCCCCGGAUGAGUGUACCUGAAGAAAAAGCAUCGGCUAACUCCGUGCCAGCAGCCGCGGUAAUACGGAGGAUGCGAGCGUUAUCCGGAUUUAUUGGGUUUAAAGGGUGCGCAGGCGGUCUGUUAAGUCAGCGGUCAAAGCCCGGGGCUCAACCCCGGCGCGCCGUUGAAACUGGCAGUCUUGAGUUGGAGAGAAGUAUGCGGAAUGCGCGGUGUAGCGGUGAAAUGCAUAGAUAUCGCGCAGAACUCCGAUUGCGAAGGCAGCAUGCCGGCUCCACACUGACGCUGAGGCACGAAAGCGUGGGUAUCGAACAGGAUUAGAUACCCCGGUAGUC